GAAUCCCCCAGCCUGUCCACCUAAGAACCCGGCUGGGCUACCGUGCUGUGGGCGUUCGCUUCGCUCCUCGGACACCGACAGUAGCCAAGGGGCCAGAAAGGUGCUACCAGGGUCUGGGGACUCAGGUCCGGGCCUGGGAAGCAUUUUCAUGAAGCACAGUCACAGAGGGACAGAAUGCCCUGAUGUUUGGGUUUUUCUGUCUAUGCAUUUUCUACAUGGUCUCAAAAGUCUACCAUGAAUCUCCGGCUACAAACCCUGGGAUCCAGCACCCAUUCUCAGGACUGGCAAAGGUUUCUGUGGAUCUUAAUUUAAAUCCUGUGUAGAGAGUCAGACAGAGCAGCUUUUAGAUACUAGAAGAAGGGUGCUCACAGAUCACUGCUUCCAUGGCUUCUGUGCCAUUCAUACAUCCUUGAUUGAAGCUGCUAUAUCCAGAAGAAUUAGCGGUAAGGUCCCAGAAUGUUCUGUUCUUUCUUUCUUUCUUUCUUUCUUUCUUUCUUUCUUUCUUUCUCUUCUUCUCCUCCUCCUCCUCCUCCUCCUCCUCCUCCUCC
Molecule: non-coding RNA, 548 nt
Organism: Cricetulus griseus (Chinese hamster)
Lineage: Eukaryota; Metazoa; Chordata; Mammalia; Rodentia; Cricetidae
Source: RefSeq, a predicted model, not a curated record